AUCAUAAAUGGGUAUUGUUUUAAGUCACUACAUCUGUGAUCAUUUGUUACACAGGCAUAGAAAACUAAUACGCAAGCUGUGCCAGUGUGUCAGACACCAGAGGGAGAGAGGUACAGAGCUCUUUGGAAGCAAAUUUCCAAUCCCUGCUCACUUCUUGCCCCCAACGCUUUUGCUCUUUGACAUUGCUUGCUGCCAUCCUGCCUUCAACCUCAAAUCAGGUUUCUGCCUGUGAUUCAAUCUCUGGCUCCCUAUGAGAAAUCUUUUUUAUAUAAAAUUAAUAUAUAAAUAAAUUUGCUCUUGGAGAGAUGCAGUGUGGAACAGAACCUGCCAGGCUCUCUAACGUCCAUCACAAAGAAAGACUGCAGAGGGGAGGGGGAAGGCAGAGCUUUAUCCUCCAUAGGGAAGCAGAGAAUUCAUAGUGAUCUUAUUGCAGAUGUAAAAUUAGGUCAGCGGCUCUGUAAACUGAUUAAAGCUCAUGCUUCACGCUUCCAAGGAAAACAGCCAAUACAAAAGGGAAUGAUCCCUGGCUCAAGAUGAGAAGGAAGGAGAGCUCUCUAUGUUCGUAGUCCAGCCAUAUAGGAUGCUUGGCCAAAAUGAAGGUAUAGAAAAGGAACAACCAAAGAAAGAACAGGACAUACUGGAUCUUUCUGGGUAUCAUCAAACUUCUCCAUCCAAGAAUAAGGGACAGCAGCAUCUCUUUGACAUCCAUAGCCCAUUUCUGCUUUGCCAAUAUCACUUGUGCAUCUGGGGCCACCAAUGCAUCCUAUCCUAGCAAGUAUCAAUGGGAAUAAAGAAGAAACUUAGAAAACGACAAAAUUCAAGAAGAGCUGAAGCUCUGGAGCUAGCUUUGGUGGAGAAAGAAUGAUGCGGGAUGUUGGACUAAGCGAGAAAUGCAUAAGAAGCUGGAAACCAGAAAGCAAGGAGACCCACUAACAUGGCCUACUCUGGUCGGCCUCUGGGCACAAAGGAGGGUGAAGAAAGGAUGGGAGCAGACAUGGAGGCACCAAUGGAAAGUACCAGAACACUUAAAAAAUUGAACUUUUAUGUUAUUACUCAAUGUUACUUUUAUAUUAUUAAUCAGUAUUUACUGAGCCCAACCCCUAUGAUAGUUCUACAAUGUAUUACUCUUAAAAUCUAAGCUAGACCUGAAAUCCUAUAUUCUGUUUUAAGCUAUUACCUCUCAAUAGGAAAAGAGAGGUGUUGAGUGUCACCUUAAUCCUUCCUGAGAUAAACAUUCAAAUCAAUCUCUCUACAGAUUGCCCAUAACCUUGUUCUUGUCUGUAUUAAUACAUUCCUGUUGUCUGUCUUUAUUUCUGUUUACACUAUGUAAAUGUUAUAGAAUCAUCAAACUUUAGAAAUAGAUUUGAGAUAACAGAUUAAAUUAGGGAUACCAACUACUCUUUCAUUCCACAGAUAUUUACUGAGCCUGGAUUUUAUCAUCCAUGCCAACUAUAAGUGAUGAGUAGUGGCGACCUACAGCAUUGCACUGAGAGAAACUGAAAGCUGUACUCAUACAAGCUAGGAAACUGACUAUUCCAGCUGAGGGAAAGGAAGAGUGAACCCACAUACCAGAAACCUACUUUAUCUCGCCAAACACAAAUAUGGGAUGCCUAGUUAAGUUUGAAGUUCAGAUAAACAAUGAAUCAUUUUUGGUACAAAUAUGCCCCAUGCCAUAUUUGGGGCAUGUACUUAAAAAAUGAUUCAUUGUUUAUCUGAAAUUCGAACUAAACUGGGCAUCCUGUAUUUUUACUUGCUGAAUCUGGCAAGCCUGACCCUGACCUUGGACAAGGUUCUUGGCUAACAUUUCCACUUGGUAGACUGGGAAUCUAAGACCCAUAGACAGCAAGAAACUUUCCCAACUUUACACAGCUAGUUAAAACAGAAUCAGAACUAGAAGUACUUUCUACUGUCACAUAUGGUGCCCCCUCUGACUUAGAUCAUAAACUUCAUGAGGAUUUAAGUAAAUCUGUAAGCCACCUAGCAAACCCUUGCAAGCUGCUAGGCCCCUAACGAGCUCUUUCAGAUUGAUUGAAAAUAUGACCUGGAAAAUGUCAUAAUGACAUUUCAUAAUAGUGUUGUGUUAGUUUGUAAUGUACAGUAUAUUACACAAAUUCAUCAAAUGCUUGCAGAAUUAAUAGUACCAUGCUACCAUUCUUAUACAAAUUUUAAUAGGAAUGAGCAUCUAUAUUUAUAUGCAGGAAUUCCAGAUUAGGCAGUUAUUUGGUUUUCUACAAAUACAGAAAAUCAAUGACAAUCCAAAAACCUAUUACAGCUAAAAAGUGACUUAAAAUGUAAAAUGGGAAUUUCUACCUUUUUAACCACUGAAACUACUUCUUUAUUGAAGCUGAAAGAUAUUUAAAAGGAAA
This 2366-nucleotide long non-coding RNA is filed under the name Homo sapiens (human). RNAcentral describes it as "HSALNT0386880". Lineage: Eukaryota; Metazoa; Chordata; Mammalia; Primates; Hominidae. The record is from RNAcentral.